UACGUAGGGCGCAAGCGUUGUCCGGAAUUAUUGGGCGUAAAGAGCUCGUAGGCGGUCUGUCGCGUCGGCUGUGAAAACCCGAGGCUCAACCUCGGGCCUGCAGUCGAUACGGGCAGACUAGAGUGCUGUAGGGGAGACUGGAAUUCCUGGUGUAGCGGUGAAAUGCGCAGAUAUCAGGAGGAACACCGAUGGCGAAGGCAGGUCUCUGGGCCAUUACUGACACUGAGAAGCGAAAGCAUGGGGAGCGAACAGG
Molecule: ribosomal RNA, 253 nt
Filed under: uncultured bacterium
Lineage: Bacteria
Description: partial 16S ribosomal RNA
Rfam family: Bacterial small subunit ribosomal RNA
Source: RNAcentral